RNAcentral lists this ribosomal RNA (515 nucleotides) under uncultured Sordariales. RNAcentral describes it as "eukaryotic LSU rRNA". The stretch from base 170 to 323 matches the Rfam family "5.8S ribosomal RNA". Lineage: Eukaryota; Fungi; Ascomycota; Sordariomycetes; Sordariales. The record is from RNAcentral.
AAGUCGUAACAAGGUCUCCGUUGGUGAACCAGCGGAGGGAUCAUUAGCGAGUCUAACUCUCUAAAACCAUUGUGAACGAACUGCCACGUUGCUUUGGCGGGGUCAAACCCGCCGGCAGAACGCAAACUAUGUUAUAUUUGUUUCUCUGAGUAUACUUUUAAUAAGUAAAAACUUUCAACAACGGAUCUCUUGGUUCUGGCAUCGAUGAAGAACGCAGCGAAAUGCGAUAAGUAAUGUGAAUUGCAGAAUUCAGUGAAUCAUCGAAUCUUUGAACGCACAUUGCGCCCGCCAGUAUUCUGGCGGGCAUGCCUGUUCGAGCGUCAUUUCAACCAUCAAGCCCUGUGCUUGUGUUGGGGGCCUGCGGCUGCCGCAGCCCCCUAAAUUCAGUGGCGGGCUCGUCGUCGUACCGAGUGUAGUAAAUAUCCUCGCUCAGGAAACGCGGUGGGUUCCGGCCGUUAAAUGCCUAAUUAUCUAAGGUUGACCUCGGAUCAGGUAGGAAUACCCGCUGAACUUAA